UACGUAGGGUGCAAGCGUUAAUCGGAAUUACUGGGCGUAAAGCGUGCGCAGGCGGUUGUGCAAGACCGAUGUGAAAUCCCCGGGCUUAACCUGGGAAUUGCAUUUGUGACUGUACGGCUAGAGUGUGUCAGAGGGGGGUAAAAUUCCACGUGUAGCAGUGAAAUGCGUAGAGAUGUGGAGGAAUACCGAUGGCGAAGGCAGCCCCCUGGGAUAACACUGACGCUCAUGCACGAAAGCGUGGGGAGCAAACAGG
This 253-nucleotide ribosomal RNA is filed under the name uncultured bacterium. Its description in RNAcentral is "partial 16S ribosomal RNA". It matches the Rfam family "Bacterial small subunit ribosomal RNA", at positions 524 to 776 of the family's 1533-position model. The record is from RNAcentral.